Molecule: ribosomal RNA, 254 nt
Filed under: uncultured bacterium
Lineage: Bacteria
Description: partial 16S ribosomal RNA
Rfam family: Bacterial small subunit ribosomal RNA
Source: RNAcentral
CACGUAGGGUGCGAGCGUUGUCCGGAAUUAUUGGGCGUAAAGAGCUCGUAGGCGGUGUGUCGCUUCGGCCGUGAAAACCUGCAGCUUAACUGUGGGCGUGCGGUCGAUACGGGCAUCACUGGAGUUCGGCAGGGGAGACUGGAAUUCCUGGUGUAGCGGUGAAAUGCGCAGAUAUCAGGAGGAACACCGGUGGCGAAGGCGGGUCUCUGGGCCGAUACUGACGCUGAGGAGCGAAAGCGUGGGGAGCAAACAGG